Molecule: ribosomal RNA, 484 nt
Filed under: uncultured bacterium
Lineage: Bacteria
Description: partial 16S ribosomal RNA
Rfam family: Bacterial small subunit ribosomal RNA
Source: RNAcentral
AUUGAACGCUGGCGGCAUGCUUUACACAUGCAAGUCGAACGGCAGCGCGGGCUUCGCCCUGGCGGCGAGUGGCGAACGGGUGAGUAAUGCAUCGGAACGUGCCCAGUAGUGGGGGCUAGCCCGGCGAAAGACGGAUUAAUACCGCAUACGACCUGAGGGUGAAAGCGGGGGACCGAACGGCCUCGCGCUAUUGGAGCGGCGGAUGUCGGAUUAGCUAGUUGGUGGGGUAAAGGCUUACCAAGGCGACGAUCCGUAGCUGGUCUGAGAGGACGACCAGCCACACUGGGACUGAGACACGGCCCAGACUCCUACGGGAGGCAGCAGUGGGGAAUUUUGGACAAUGGGGGCAACCCUGAUCCAGCCAUGCCGCGUGCGGGAAGAAGGCCUUCGGGUUGUAAACCGCUUUUGUUCGGGAAGAAAACCUCUGGGCUAAUACCCCGGGGGGAUGACGGUACCGGAAGAAUAAGCACCGGCUAACUACGUG